GAUAGAUAGUGUUUAUUGUAGUGGAAAGAGGAGAUCAUGAAAGCAUUUCUUAGGUGAGCGGCUUCAAAUAGGUCAACAAUCCUUUCAGCCACAAAAGAGUUAAAUGACAAAGGGACAGAUGAAUUUAUAAUUGACACAAGGCAAAGGUACACAGGGGAAGGAAGAGAUUCUCAGGGAACUGGAAGCAUCAGAACUCUUGCAGGCCUUAAGGAUAUUCAGAGUGCCAUCAAAGAGCGAUAGAAAGGAAACAGAAAGGAUGUGCUAAAGAGAGAUAGAAGGAAAGCUCAAAGAAGCAUUGAUCAGGGAUGUGUAGGCGAGAGUGUCAGAGAUGCUGAGCAACCUUUUGAUCCAAUCCAUUCUGGUUUGUCUGGAUGGUGAAGGCUCGGCAUUCCUGACACCAUACAAUCAUAGAAUUCUAGAGUUGGAAGGGACCACAAGGGCCAUCAAGUCCAACCCUCUGCAAUGCAGGAAUCUCAACUACAGCAUCCAUGACAAAUGGCCAUUAGACGUUGAUCCAUGGUGUGCAUUUCAGGUACCAUUCCCCACACCCCGUUCCUGUGGGGGAUCACAAUCCCAUUCGAAAGAGAGACAAGCUCAUCUUCGUCUCAGUAUAGGAACUGUCGCUGGAUGAGAAGGGAGAUUGUAAGCAAAAGAAUUUGGGUGCAUCAGUGAAGGCAGCUGCAUUGCUGAUGAAGGAGCAUGCAUGCUAGCCUGAGUUAUCUGGGCAGGGGUGGGGUUGGGGAGAGUCGUGUUUGUUCCCUGUUUCAUAACAUCAAUCUCCAUCUCCACCCACACUGUCAUCGGCCUAAGUGUUCCGUCGGCUGCCUUUGUUAAUACUUCAAUAGGCAUGCUGCAUUUCAUAAUGGGUGUCAUUGCAGCUGUAGUCAUUGUAGAACAACUGGUGUGAAUCUGGAAAAAAUAACAUGGAAGUGUUUAAGAUGGUGUACUCUAAUGUCUACUCAGAUUCUGUUUUAAUUACAAAUUUUGCAUCAAUAAAUACUAUGAGCAAUCUUUUCUGAAAGUGGUGUCCAGUUACAUCACAGUAAAUAGUCUAAUAUAACAAGCAGAUAGAUUUUUAGCAGGCGAUAUACAGACACACAAAAAAACAAAAAAACCCUUAUCCUCCCAACUUUUUCUCCCUUUUUUUGGCAGAAUGAGGUCUUCGUUCCUCACACACCUGCAUGGCAACAGCAUGAGGCGAGUCAAAACUACAAAUUUGAGGAGGGGGGUAUACAAGUUCAAAGAGUGACCUUAGGUGGUCCUUGGUUACUUUGUUAAAGGCUUAGUCAGAUAAAAAAACUCUCCUGUACAGUCAUACCUCGGAAGUCGAACAGAAUCCAUUCCGGAAGUCCAUUUGACUUCAGAAACAUUCAGAAACCAAAGCGCGGCUUCUGAUGGAAUGCAGGAAGCUAUUGCAGCCAAUCGGAAGCCACAGAAGCCCCAUUGGAUGUUCGGCUUCCAAAAAUAGUUCGCAAACUGGGACAGUCACUUCCGGGUUUGCAGCGUUCGGGAACCAAAGCGUUUGAGAACUAUGCUGUUCGAAAACCAAGGUACAACUGUAUUACCCUUAGUAUCUGAAUAGAGUGAAUCCUCAUUCCUCAUAAUGCACUUUGUGUCCCUGGAUUAGACAAUCCACUCAGGAUAAAA
Molecule: long non-coding RNA, 1647 nt
Organism: Podarcis muralis (Common wall lizard)
Lineage: Eukaryota; Metazoa; Chordata; Lepidosauria; Squamata; Lacertidae
Source: Ensembl